CACCAUUCCCUCCUCAAACGCCACCACAACAACAACCCUUCAGAAACUCCUCCCCCCACAUCACUCUUCCUCAAACCCUCCACACCAACCUUAACUCUCUCCCACCACACUCUUUCUACUAACUCUCAUAUCACUUUCUUUUCCCUCUCCCAAACCACACCCUCUUCAUCCUCCUCCACCUCCCAAACCAGCCCCUCCUUUGACCUCCUCCGCCACCACCUCUCCUCCCAAAACUUCCAGCUAGCUGAUGAAGAGACCCGCCGUCUCCUCAUCGUGCUUGCUGGAGAACCAGCUCAGAAGCGCGGCUAUGUCUU
RNAcentral lists this long non-coding RNA (314 nucleotides) under Vigna radiata. RNAcentral's name for it is "long non-coding RNA (VRAD_LNC001454)". The record is from RNAcentral. Lineage: Eukaryota; Viridiplantae; Streptophyta; Magnoliopsida; Fabales; Fabaceae.